GCCGGGGUGGUGGAAUUGGCAGACACAUACGUUUGAGGGGCGUAUGCCUUACAGCGUGCGGGUUCAAAUCCCGCCUCCGGCA
This 82-nucleotide transfer RNA is filed under the name Candidatus Latescibacterota bacterium. RNAcentral's name for it is "Latescibacterota bacterium tRNA". It matches the Rfam family "tRNA". From Rfam's summary of the family: Transfer RNA (tRNA) molecules are approximately 80 nucleotides in length. Their secondary structure includes four short double-helical elements and three loops (D, anti-codon, and T loops). Lineage: Bacteria; Pseudomonadati; Candidatus Latescibacterota. The record is from Rfam by way of RNAcentral.